UACGUAAGUGGCGAGCGUUAUCCGGAAUUACUGGGCGUAAAGCGUGCGUAGGCGGUUUAGUGUGUGGAAUUGAAAGCCCGGGGCUCAACUCCGGAUCCGGUUCCCAAACUGCUAGACUCGAGAGUAUCAGAGGAGAGCGGAAUUCCCGGUGUAGCGGUAAUAUGCGUAGAUAUUCGGAAGAACACCAGUGGCGAAGGCGGCUCACUGGCCCGGUACUGACGCUGAGGUGCGAAAGCGUGGGGAGCAAACAGG
Molecule: ribosomal RNA, 252 nt
Filed under: uncultured bacterium
Lineage: Bacteria
Description: partial 16S ribosomal RNA
Rfam family: Bacterial small subunit ribosomal RNA
Source: RNAcentral